CCAGUGGACGAUGAUGGUGUUGCCGCCGAGAUCUUCGGCGUGGCCGCAGUGGAGCGGCUGGUGGACGUCGCCGACAAAGUGGGCCAGGAACAUCAAGCUCUCCGUCGGAUCAACUGAUAAAUGGAGGUUCAAUUCAGGCAAAGGAUAUUAGGUGCCGUGUGGCCUGAAGUCAGCUCACACGAACACGAUGCAUGGUAACUAGGGUUAGCUCACAUAUGUUCGAUGCUUACAUGGACUUGAUGAAUCCUCCAGUGCCGCGGUGUAGUUGUUGAUUGCUCCAACCACGCACAUGUCCUUCUCUCCUUUCGUGUUGUGGCAGUCCCCUGCUCAACAGUAAGUACCAACCAUAAGAUAACCUCUCAACUUCUGAUACAGACGUACAGUUCGUACAGACACUGGAAUUUCUUCAGUUGCAUUUCUGUCCUUGUUUUCUAGACUUGAAAGAAAAUGCGUUUAACUUAUUAAAUAGUACUACAUGAAACCUGCAUACGUUGCACACUAGGACCAUAUCAUUACAGCUAUCAAUAUCAAGCAAGCAACUAGCAGGAGCAGGCAGGGACUUGGUUACGCCUUCCAUCCGAGGAGAUGACGAUGACGCGAGCCUAACUUCCUUGCACAAUGAAACAAGCAAGGACCAAGGAGAGACCUAUGUUCCGACGCAUCCUCUCAAGAUUUGGUAGGCAGGUCGCAAACAAAUUUAGUCCAGGCCGAAUAAUACUAGAUAUAUUCCCUUGAGAUCCUUCAGACAUGGGAACUUCUUCGCCUGACUCCCUUUUUCGUCUGAACAUUGAACUCCUACGGCCCAACCACUUGGCAGAGACGACGCCGGUUGCUUCUAUAGCGAGUAAACGCACGCAUGAGGCAUGACAGCGACGUGCCAUCCAAAGCGAUCGAUCUCUAGCUACUCGCGUUAAUGUUUUUCUUCUCGGAGCAAAGUUUGGUUUGGUCGCGACAUGUUAAACCAGAGACGAUCUGAUAGGAGACUCUGAAUUCUGAAGCAGCAGGAUUGCAUGGAAGUUCAAUGUUGAUCAGAAUCCAGGAGGCUUACUGGCGUAGCUGAACUUGCAGUCCCCGGGAUUGUCGGCGAAGUGCAGGGGGCUGGACCACCGGUACCGGAACCGCUGCCGGUCCGCCCACGCGCACGUCUCGGCGAGGUCGCCGCCGGCCCACCCCGGCAGCAGGUCCUUCACCGCCGUCGAGGCCUCUUCCGUCAGAAAGCUCUGCCACACAGUUCCCGGUCCAAUUCUAAGUUGAGCUUCUCCAACGCCGCCGAUGACGACGUACGGAGCAAAUUAACAAUCAAACCAAAGCUAUGGCUAGUGGUGGUUGCCAGUUACCUCGGCGAUCUUGCACACCAUGUAGUGGCCGUCCUUGCCCCAUGCGUGAGCCGCAGGAGCUGUCGCCACCACCGUGACGAGGAGGACGUGGAGGAGCAGGAGCAGCGCCAUAUUGUUGUCUCGAUCGACUUUUCCUUGCUACGCCCUCGUUUUCUCUUAGGAGU
This 1501-nucleotide long non-coding RNA is filed under the name Setaria viridis. RNAcentral's name for it is "long non-coding RNA (SVIR_LNC002533)". Lineage: Eukaryota; Viridiplantae; Streptophyta; Magnoliopsida; Poales; Poaceae. The record is from RNAcentral.